This 444-nucleotide ribosomal RNA is filed under the name uncultured bacterium. Its description in RNAcentral is "bacterial SSU rRNA". It matches the Rfam family "Bacterial small subunit ribosomal RNA", at positions 29 to 507 of the family's 1533-position model. The record is from RNAcentral.
AACGAACGCUGGCGGCAGGCCUAACACAUGCAAGUCGAACGUGAAGCCACCUUCGGGUGGUGGAAAGUGGCAGACGGGUGAGUAACGCGUGGGAACGUGCCUUUCGGUUCGGAAUAACUCAGGGAAACUUGGGCUAAUACCGGAUACGCCCUUCGGGGGAAAGAUUCAUCGCCGAAAGAUCGGCCCGCGUCGGAUUAGCUUGUUGGUGGGGUAAAAGCCCACCAAGGCGACGAUCCGUAGCUGGUCUGAGAGGAUGAUCAGCCACACUGGGACUGAGACACGGCCCAGACUCCUACGGGAGGCAGCAGUGGGGAAUAUUGGGACAAUGGGCGCAAGCCUGAUCCAGCCAUGCCGCGUGGGUGAAGAAGGCCCUAGGGUUGUAAAUCCCUUUCAGCGGGGAAGAUAAUGACGGUACCCGCAGAAGAAGCCCCGGCUAACUCCGUG